RNAcentral lists this ribosomal RNA (324 nucleotides) under uncultured eukaryote. RNAcentral describes it as "partial 18S ribosomal RNA". It matches the Rfam family "Eukaryotic small subunit ribosomal RNA", at positions 1470 to 1796 of the family's 1831-position model. The record is from RNAcentral.
CCCUUAGAUGCUCUGGGCCGCACGCGCGCUACACUGGUCGAUGCAACGAGUUUCUUUCCUUGGCCGACAGGCCUGGGCAAUCUUUGAACAUCGAUCGUGAUCGGGAUAGAUUCUUGUAAUUUUUGAUCUUAAACGAGGAAUUCCUAGUAAACGCAAGUCAUCAGCUUGCAUUGAUUACGUCCCUGCCCUUUGUACACACCGCCCGUCGCACCUACCGACUGAAUGGUCCGGUGAAAUCUCCGGACUGGCGUGAGUCGGAGCAAUCUGACAAACGCCGGAAAGUUGAUUAAACCUUACCAUUUAGAGGAAGGUGAAGUCGUAACA